AAUCGAACCCGGAGAUAGCUGGUUCUCCUCGAAAUAGCUUUAGGGCUAGCCUCAUACAAGUCUUGCGGAGGUAGAGCACUGAAUUUCCUAGGGGGCGUCAAAGCUUACCGAAGAAUAUCAAACUCCGAAUGCCGUGUAGAUGUUGUAUGGGAGUCAGACUGUACGAGAUAAGUUGGACAGUCAAAAGGGAAAGAGCCCAGACCUGCAGCUAAGGCCCCAAAAUGUGUGUUAAGUGGAAAAGGAUGUGGGAUUUCGAAGACAACUAGGAUGUUGGCUCAGAAGCAGCCAUACAUUCAAAGAGUGCGUAACAGCUCACUGGUCGAGAGGUCCUGCGCCGAAAAUGUCCGGGGCUGAAACACCACACCGAAGCCGCGGAACCCGUAAGGGUUGGUAGAGGAGCAUUCUUAGGGGAGCGAAGCAUUACCGGAAGGGGAUGUGGACCGCUAAGAAGAGAGAAUGCCGGAAUGAGUAGCGAGAGCAAGGUGGGAAUCCUUGCGGCCGAAUAUCCAAGGUUUCCAGAGUAAAGCUGAUCUGCUCUGGGUAAGUCGGGGCCUAAGGAGAGGCAGAGAUGCGUAUCCGAUGGACAGCAGGUUUAAGAUUCCUGCACCCCUUGUUAUCAGAACUGCGGGGACACGGGAAGGGAAGCAGAGCCGGGAAUGGAAAGCCCGGUGCAAGCGAAGUAGUCGCAGGGUUGGAAAAUCCGCCCUGCAUAAGACGAAGGCGUGAUGCGGAGCGAAAUGAAGUAGUGAAGCUGCGGCCCCUUCCUGUCGAGAAAAGCCGCUAUCGUGUAGCAAGGGCCCGUACCGUAAACCGACACAGGUGGAUGAGGAGAGGAUCCUAAGGCCGGCGGGAGAAGUGUUGUUAAGGAACUCGGCAAAAUGACUCCGUAACUUCGGGAGAAGGAGUGCUGCGCAAGCAGCCGCAGAGAAAUGGCCCAAGCAACUGUUUAGCAAAAACACAGGUCUAUGCGAAACCGAAAGGUGAGGUAUAUGGGCUGACGCCUGCCCGGUGCUGGAAGGUUAAGGGGAGAGGUUAGCGCAAGCGAAGCUUUGAACUUAAGCCCCAGUAAACGGCGGCCGUAACUAUAACGGUCCUAAGGUAGCGAAAUUCCUUGUCGGGUAAGUUCCGACCCGCACGAAAGGCGUAAUGAUUUGGGCACUGUCUCAACAAUGCACCCGGUGAAAUUGAAAUACCAGUGAAGAUGCUGGUUACCUGCGCCAGGACGGAAAGACCCCAUGGAGCUUUACUCCAGCUUGAUACUGGGAUUCGGUAUUGCAUGUACAGGAUAGGUGGGAGGCUAGGAAAUGGUAACGCCAGUUGCCAUGGAGCCGCUGUUGGGAUACCACCCUUGCAGUACUGGGUUUCUAACCAGCAGCCGUGAUCCGGCUGGGGGACAAUGUCAGGUGGGGAGUUUGACUGGGGCGGUCGCCUCCGAAAGGGUAUCGGAGGCGCUCAAAGGUUCCCUCAGAAUGGUUGGAAACCAUUCGAAGAGUGCAAAGGCAGAAGGGAGCUUGACUGCGACACCGACGGGUGGAGCAGGUACGAAAGUAGGACUUAGUGAUCCGGUGGUAUGAAAGUGGGAUUGCCAUCGCUCAACGGAUAAAAGCUACCCUGGGGAUAACAGGCUUAUCACUCCCAAGAGUUCACAUCGACGGAGUGGUUUGGCACCUCGAUGUCGGCUCAUCGCAUCCUGGAGCUGUAGCAGGUUCCAAGGGUUGGGCUGUUCGCCCAUUAAAGCGGUACGCGAGCUGGGUUCAGAACGUCGUGAGACAGUUCGGUCCCUAUCCGGCGUGGGCGUAGGAUAUUUGAGAGGAGCUG
RNAcentral lists this ribosomal RNA (1818 nucleotides) under human gut metagenome. RNAcentral describes it as "bacterial LSU rRNA". It matches the Rfam family "Bacterial large subunit ribosomal RNA", at positions 831 to 2674 of the family's 2925-position model. The record is from RNAcentral.